This 713-nucleotide ribosomal RNA is filed under the name uncultured bacterium. Its description in RNAcentral is "bacterial SSU rRNA". It matches the Rfam family "Bacterial small subunit ribosomal RNA", at positions 670 to 1382 of the family's 1533-position model. The record is from RNAcentral.
CAUGUGUAGCGGUGAAAUGCGUAGAUAUAUGGAGGAACACCAGUGGCGAAAGCGGCUCUNUGGUCUGUCACUGACGCUGAGGCUCGAAAGCGUGGGUAGCGAACAGGAUUAGAUACCCUGGUAGUNCACGCCGUAAACGAUGAGUGCUAGGUGUUAGGCCCUUUCCGGGGCUUAGUGCCGGAGCUAACGCAAUAAGCACUCCGCCUGGGGAGUACGACCGCAAGGUUGAAACUCAAAGGAAUUGACGGGGGCCCGCACAAGCGGUGGAGCAUGUGGUUUAAUUUGAAGCAACGCGAAGAACCUUACCAGGUCUUGACAUCCCGAUGCUAUUCUUAGAGAUAGGAAGUUACUUCGGUACAUCGGAGACAGGUGGUGCAUGGUUGUCGUCAGCUCGUGUCGUGAGAUGUUGGGUUANNNNNNNNNNACGAGCGCAACCCUUAUCGUUAGUUGCCAUCAUUAAGUUGGGCACUCUAGCGAGACUGCCGGUAAUAAACCGGAGGAAGGUGGGGAUGACGUCAAAUCAUCAUGCCCCUUAUGACCUGGGCUACACACGUGCUACAAUGGUCGGUACAACGAGUUGCGAGCCGGUGACGGCAAGCUAAUCUCUGAAAGCCGAUCUCAGUUCGGAUUGGAGGCUGCAACUCGCCUCCAUGAAGUCGGAAUCGCUAGUAAUCGCGGAUCAGCACGCCGCGGUGAAUACGUUCCCGGGCCUU